GACGAACGCUGGCGGCGUGCUUAACACAUGCAAGUCGAACGGAAAGGCCCUGCUUUUGUGGGGUGCUCGAGUGGCGAACGGGUGAGUAACACGUGAGUAACCUGCCCUUGACUUUGGGAUAACUUCAGGAAACUGGGGCUAAUACCGGAUAGGAGCUCCUGCUGCAUGGUGGGGGUUGGAAAGUUUCGGCGGUUGGGGAUGGACUCGCGGCUUAUCAGCUUGUUGGUGGGGUAGUGGCUUACCAAGGCUUUGACGGGUAGCCGGCCUGAGAGGGUGACCGGCCACAUUGGGACUGAGAUAAGGCACAGACUCCUACGGGAGGCAGAAGUGGGGAAUAUUGCACAAUGGGCGGAAGCCUGAUGCAGCAAAGCCGCGUGCGGGAUGACGGCCUUCGGGUUGUAAACCGCUUUCGCCUGUGACGAAGCGUGAGUGACGGUAAUGGGUAAAGAAGCACCGGCUAACUACGUG
This 468-nucleotide ribosomal RNA is filed under the name uncultured bacterium. Its description in RNAcentral is "partial 16S ribosomal RNA". It matches the Rfam family "Bacterial small subunit ribosomal RNA", at positions 28 to 507 of the family's 1533-position model. The record is from RNAcentral.